UCCCUCGUAGCUCAAUGGCAGAGCAGAGAGCUGUUAACUCUAAGGUUGUUGGUUCGAGUCCAGCCGGGGGAGCCA
Molecule: transfer RNA, 75 nt
Filed under: Streptomyces phage Gilson
Lineage: Duplodnaviria; Heunggongvirae; Uroviricota; Caudoviricetes; Stanwilliamsviridae
Also listed under: 3 other names
Description: tRNA-Asn
Rfam family: tRNA
About the family: Transfer RNA (tRNA) molecules are approximately 80 nucleotides in length.
Source: RNAcentral